GCGCCCGCUCGCCAAGGGCGGUGACACGCGGGUUGAGACUGCGCGCAUCGCGACGGACGAAGGCUCGCGCCAGCAGUUCCACAUCGCCGGGGCGCUC
RNAcentral lists this transfer RNA (97 nucleotides) under Pseudomonas aeruginosa. Its description in RNAcentral is "tRNA-Leu". The record is from RNAcentral. Lineage: Bacteria; Pseudomonadati; Pseudomonadota; Gammaproteobacteria; Pseudomonadales; Pseudomonadaceae.